GGGGAAACCCAGUGUGUUUCGACACACUAUCAUUAACUGAAUCCAUAGGUUAAUGAGGCGAACCGGGGGAACUGAAACAUCUAAGUACCCCGAGGAAAAGAAAUCAACCGAGAUUCCCCCAGUAGCGGCGAGCGAACGGGGAGGAGCCCAGAGCCUGAAUCAGUGUGUGUGUUAGUGGAAGCGUCUGGAAAGGCGCGCGAUACAGGGUGACAGCCCCGUACACAAAAAUGCACAUAUUGUGAGCUCGAUGAGUAGGGCGGGACACGUGGUAUCCUGUCUGAACAUGGGGGGACCAUCCUCCAAGGCUAAAUACUACUGACUGACCGAUAGUGAACCAGUACCGUGAGGGAAAGGCGAAAAGAACCCCGGAGAGGGGAGUGAAAUAGAACCUGAAACCGUAUGCGUACAAGCAGUGGGAGCCUACUUGUUAGGUGACUGCGUACCUUUUGUAUAAUGGGUCAGCGACUUAUAUUCAGUGGCAAGCUUAACCGUAUAGGGUAGGCGUAGCGAAAGCGAGUCUUAAUAGGGCGUUUAGUCGCUGGGUAUAGACCCGAAACCGGGCGAUCUAUCCAUGAGCAGGUUGAAGGUUAGGUAACACUGACUGGAGGACCGAACCCACUCCCGUUGAAAAGGUAGGGGAUGACUUGUGGAUCGGAGUGAAA
RNAcentral lists this ribosomal RNA (662 nucleotides) under Clostridioides difficile. RNAcentral describes it as "partial 23S ribosomal RNA". It matches the Rfam family "Bacterial large subunit ribosomal RNA", at positions 120 to 826 of the family's 2925-position model. Lineage: Bacteria; Bacillati; Bacillota; Clostridia; Peptostreptococcales; Peptostreptococcaceae. The record is from RNAcentral.